This is a long non-coding RNA of Portunus trituberculatus (swimming crab), 345 nucleotides long. RefSeq lists it as uncharacterized. The record is from RefSeq and is a predicted model, not a curated record. Lineage: Eukaryota; Metazoa; Arthropoda; Malacostraca; Decapoda; Portunidae. The transcript is spliced from 3 exons.
AGUUUGAAUGAUAGAGGAAGUGUAUACGAUGAUGUCGACAUUUUGCGUAGGAGAACACUAAGAAGAUCCGACAUUGUUAGCUGGAAGGGUAGACAUUGACAGUUUUUGAACAUUUGUGGAGCAGAGGUGCACCAUGGCUUGCCACAAUGUCACAAUGGGUUCUUGGAGAGCCGCUGCUGUUGACUUGCUGCAUGUCUCCUCUCUGCGGCAAAACUCCACAAAUACUCCACUCACCAAGUUCCAGAGGGAGAGGAUCACCAGCCACCACCGGCCAUACUAAAGGAAGUGGCUCUGUGUAGGGAUGGAACAUGGCAACUACACCAGCUGGGACACACCUAGCCAACU